CCUACGGGUGGCUGCAGUGGGGGAUAUUGCACAAUGGGGGAAACCCUGAUGCAGCGACGCAGCGUGUGGGAAGACGGUCCUCUGGAUUGUAAACCACUGUCCCCAGGGACGAAGAUGACGGUACCUGGGGAGGAAGCGCCGGCUAACUACGUGCCAGCAGCCGCGGUAAUAAGUAGGGAGCGAGCGUUGUCCGGAAUUACUGGGUGUAACGGGAGCGUAGGCGGGACUGCAAGUUGGGUGUCAAAUCUACCGGCUCAACCGGUAGCCGCACUCAAAACUGCGGUUCUUGAGUGAAGUAGCGGCAGUCGGAAUUCCUAGUGUAGCGGUGUCAUGCGUACAUAUUAGG
RNAcentral lists this ribosomal RNA (346 nucleotides) under uncultured bacterium. RNAcentral describes it as "partial 16S ribosomal RNA". It matches the Rfam family "Bacterial small subunit ribosomal RNA", at positions 338 to 701 of the family's 1533-position model. The record is from RNAcentral.